CCUACGGGGGGCUGCAGUAGGGAAUCUUCCACAAUGGGCGAAAGCCUGAUGGAGCAACGCCGCGUGGGUGAAGAAGGUCUUCGGAUCGUAAAACCCUGUUGUUAGAGAAGAAAGUGCGGGAGAGUAACUGUUCACGUGUCGACGGUAUCUAACCAGAAAGCCACGGCUAACUACGUGCCAGCAGCCGCGGUAAGACGUAGGUGGCAAGCGUUAUCCGGAUUUAUUGGGCGUAAAGGGAACGCAGGCGGUCUUUUAAGUCUGAGGUGAAAGCCUUCGGCUUAACCGGAGUAGUGCAUUGGAAACUUGGAGACUUGAGUGCAGCAGAGGCGAGUGGAACUCCCUGUGUAGCGG
This 351-nucleotide ribosomal RNA is filed under the name uncultured bacterium. RNAcentral's name for it is "partial 16S ribosomal RNA". It matches the Rfam family "Bacterial small subunit ribosomal RNA", at positions 338 to 681 of the family's 1533-position model. The record is from RNAcentral.